CCUACGGGUGGCUGCAGUGGGGAAUAUUGCACAAUGGGGGAAACCCUGAUGCAGCGACGCCGCGUGAGUGAAGAAGUACUUCGGUAUGUAAAGCUCUAUCAGCAGGGAAGUUAAUGACGGUAUCUGAGUAAGAAGCCACGGCUCACUACGUGCCAGCAGCCGCGGUACUACGUAGGGGGCAAGCGUUAUCCGGAUUUACUGGGUGUAAAGGGAGCGUAGACGGCAUGUCAAGUCUGUAGUGAAAGCCCGGGGCUCAACCGCGGGACUGCUUUGGAAACUGUUAAGCUGGAGUGCAGGAGAGGUAAGUGGAAUUCGUAGUGUAGCGGUGAAAUGCGUAGAUAUUAGGAGGAACACCAGUGGCGAAGGCAGCUUACUGGACUGUAACUGACGUUGAUGCUCGAAAGCGUGGGGAUCAAACAGGAUUAGAUACCCUGGUAGUC
Molecule: ribosomal RNA, 440 nt
Filed under: uncultured bacterium
Lineage: Bacteria
Description: partial 16S ribosomal RNA
Rfam family: Bacterial small subunit ribosomal RNA
Source: RNAcentral